AGUGAACGCUGGCGGUAGGCCUAACACAUGCAAGUCGAACGGCAGCACAGGAGAGCUUGCUCUCUGGGUGGCGAGUGGCGGACGGGUGAGGAAUACAUCGGAAUCUACUCUGUCGUGGGGGAUAACGUAGGGAAACUUACGCUAAUACCGCAUACGACCUACGGGUGGAAGCAGGGGAUCUUCGGACCUUGCGCGAUUGAAUGAGCCGAUGUCGGAUUAGCUAGUUGGCGGGGUAAAGGCCCACCAAGGCGACGAUCCGUAGCUGGUCUGAGAGGAUGAUCAGCCACACUGGAACUGAGACACGGUCCAGACUCCUACGGGAGGCAGCAGUGGGGAAUAUUGGACAAUGGGCGCAAGCCUGAGCCAGCCAUACCGCGUGGGUGAAGAAGGCCUUCGGGUUGUAAAGCCCUUUUGUUGGGAAAGAAAUCCAGCUGGCUAAUACCCGGUUGGGGUGACGGUACCCAAAGAAUAAGCACCGGCUAACUUCGUGCCAGCCGCCGCGGUAA
RNAcentral lists this ribosomal RNA (506 nucleotides) under uncultured bacterium. RNAcentral describes it as "partial 16S ribosomal RNA". It matches the Rfam family "Bacterial small subunit ribosomal RNA", at positions 29 to 523 of the family's 1533-position model. The record is from RNAcentral.